UUCAAAAAUCAAAACACUGAUAUUAUCUUUUUUUUUUUUUAAGGUAACUUACAAGAUUAAAAUUAAAUUUGACGAUGAUUCUGAACAAAUAUGCUGUUUAUUUGAGGUAUGCCAUUUUGAAGACUGAGACCAUGGAAUUUUGUCCUUGAGGAUAAAUCUUUGUGAUAGUCUGUAUUUUGUAUAGCAAGAAUAUGAAUCCUGAAGCUGAAUUACCUAAGGGGCCUCUACAGUGAAGUGAAAUAGAUGUUGGUGGAAGCAUUUAGUAAGUUUUUACUCAAUUUACAUGUUUAAUCUGUUUUUUAAGUUUAAAUAUGACUUUGGAAAUUUUAAGUAAAUGAGUCUAUAAAAACAGAUUUAGUGAGAUUCAAAACAGUACAAAAAUAGACCCAUAUGGUUAGGUGUGUACCAAGUUUAUUAAAAUCUUAUUAAUUUACUCCAACCUUUUAUUACUUUCUGCUUUUCUAACUUAGGUUCAGGCAAAGUUUAAAUG
Molecule: long non-coding RNA, 490 nt
Filed under: Bos mutus (wild yak)
Lineage: Eukaryota; Metazoa; Chordata; Mammalia; Artiodactyla; Bovidae
Description: lncRNA (ENSBMUG00000024072.1)
Source: RNAcentral